Molecule: ribosomal RNA, 1140 nt
Filed under: Lacticaseibacillus paracasei
Lineage: Bacteria; Bacillati; Bacillota; Bacilli; Lactobacillales; Lactobacillaceae
Description: bacterial SSU rRNA
Rfam family: Bacterial small subunit ribosomal RNA
Source: RNAcentral
CCCAAACUCCUACGGGAGGCAGCAGUAGGGAAUUUUCCACAAUGGACGCAAGUCUGAUGGAGCAACGCCGCGUGAGUGAAGAAGGCUUUCGGGUCGUAAAACUCUGUUGUGGAGAAGAAUGGUCGGCAGAGUAACUGUUGUCGGCGUGACGGUAUCCAACCAGAAAGCCACGGCUAACUACGUGCCAGCAGCCGCGGUAAUACGUAGGUGGCAAGCGUUAUCCGGAUUUAUUGGGCGUAAAGCGAGCGCAGGCGGUUUUUUAAGUCUGAUGUGAAAGCCCUCGGCUUAACCGAGGAAGCGCAUCGGAAACUGGGAAACUUGAGUGCAGAAGAGGACAGUGGAACUCCAUGUGUAGCGGUGAAAUGCGUAGAUAUAUGGAAGAACACCAGUGGCGAAGGCGGCUGUCUGGUCUGUAACUGACGCUGAGGCUCGAAAGCAUGGGUAGCGAACAGGAUUAGAUACCCUGGUAGUCCAUGCCGUAAACGAUGAAUGCUAGGUGUUGGAGGGUUUCCGCCCUUCAGUGCCGCAGCUAACGCAUUAAGCAUUCCGCCUGGGGAGUACGACCGCAAGGUUGAAACUCAAAGGAAUUGACGGGGGCCCGCACAAGCGGUGGAGCAUGUGGUUUAAUUCGAAGCAACGCGAAGAACCUUACCAGGUCUUGACAUCUUUUGAUCACCUGAGAGAUCAGGUUUCCCCUUCGGGGGCAAAAUGACAGGUGGUGCAUGGUUGUCGUCAGCUCGUGUCGUGAGAUGUUGGGUUAAGUCCCGCAACGAGCGCAACCCUUAUGACUAGUUGCCAGCAUUUAGUUGGGCACUCUAGUAAGACUGCCGGUGACAAACCGGAGGAAGGUGGGGAUGACGUCAAAUCAUCAUGCCCCUUAUGACCUGGGCUACACACGUGCUACAAUGGAUGGUACAACGAGUUGCGAGACCGCGAGGUCAAGCUAAUCUCUUAAAGCCAUUCUCAGUUCGGACUGUAGGCUGCAACUCGCCUACACGAAGUCGGAAUCGCUAGUAAUCGCGGAUCAGCACGCCGCGGUGAAUACGUUCCCGGGCCUUGUACACACCGCCCGUCACACCAUGAGAGUUUGUAACACCCGAAGCCGGUGGCGUAACCCUUUUAGGGAGCGAGCCGUCUAAG